UGCUCCACAUUUAAUUAAUUACACUUAUAUAUACCAGCCCCAAACAUGUGCAUGUGAUGGAUAAAUCCACAUAAAAGUAUGCAAUGGCAGUGCUCUCGCGCCUAAGAUACCACCGUUAACAUAUCAGAGUAUUAUAUGUAAACGUGAUAUAAACAGAUUUUAUUAAUGAAAAGUUAAUAUAACGAACAGUAAUCAAUCUCAACUCCCAAAACGAGUACAAAAUACGGACUGAUCUAAUUAUAAUCAAGUAUGUAGCUAUUUUGUAAACAAAAGUUAAAGAGUAAAAUUGCUUCGUUUCUACAAUAUAGAACCACCCAGUUUCAAUAUUAAGUUAACUGUCUCUAAAUUCAUCUUUUACAGUAAGACAAAAGAAUGUUGUUCGAGCUACAGAAAAAUAAAAGGUGAAUGCAUUGAGUGUGUUGGUUUCUUCGGAGAUAAUUGCGAAAAACAAUGUGUGGAUGGAUAUUUCGGAAAAUCGUGUAGAGAGGCUUGUAACUGUACAAACUCAGAAACCUGUACUCAGUACGUCGGGUGCAUCGAAACCAAAAGUAAAAACAACAAAGAGGCAUGCCCGCUUGUUAGACUAAUGGUUCCUGCAAUAACGACUCUGCCUAUUCUAAGUUUCAUCAUGUGUUUUAUGAUCUGCUUAUAUAGAACACGAAGACAAGGAAAGUAUAAAGUGGACAACGCCAUGAAAAUGAAGUCAAUCCCACAGAAAAAGUCAGAAAACAUUCAGUUGAUUCGUUACAUCAGCAAUGCACACGAACAUAGACAAUACAGUGACAUCGAUAUUACGAAAUACAUGUAUAAUAGAGAAUUUGAAAAGCACGUGACACAUGACUACAGUCGAAUCAUAUUCCCUAAAUUUACGUCAGUGGAUAUCCCAGCAGACCAGUACAGUACGGCCAUAAUACGUAAUCCACAUGUACUGGGGGAUGGAGAAAGUGGAAGUAGCACAGACACUUCUGAUGGAGGAAAUAUGCAAGAACGUUUGAGACACCCCUCCACUGACCAACGUAGUGCACAAAACUCCAGACCUUAUAGUCUAGUUCACCCCGAAUGGAUUUGACGAAGUCUGAUUUUACCAUCUAGGUAUCUCUAUCGGGACUAGAAAGUUUAUGAUUAGACGAAGUCAGAGUUAUACAACUUUAUUAUUCAUUGUCAUCUCAUAUCGCUUUCAUCAUAUAUUUGUUAAAGACAUUGCAUUGGUCGAUUCGUUGUGCAUUUGUAUACAUUGAAUGAAUACUUAUGAUUUCUGAGGGCUUUUGGGAAACAUGUAUAUGAGUUAUACCAAUUCUACUCACUUUCGCUUAAAUCUACUUCGCUGGUAUUUGGAAUGAUGAAUAUUUUAAUUCUAGAGAGAAUUACCAAUCUUAUUAAAUGUAUCGUACCUAUAUUAGUCAUCAGGGACUUAGGGUUGUGAUCGAGGGACUUUCCUCAGACGCUAUCACAAAAAGUAGAUUGCUGUAAAGUAUCUAGUAUGAUUACUAUAUUAAAUGAAUUAUACAGUUAUUUAUCUUUGAUUUUCUUUUUUAAAUCUUUUUAAAAAUGCAAUUUUUGAAUGCUGUUUACAGACAAAUGUAUCACACGUUAGACGACAUUUAAGUAGUGAACAACCUAUGAAGUAUAUGUUGUACCCAAUAUUUACAAUAAGUAUACAUACAUUGGAAAUUGAACAACGUAAAUGAAUGGGAAAUAGAAGAAUAUGUAUAAUGCUUUCCAGUCGAUAAAUGGAUAAAUAUUACCCAGGGUAGGUGUAAAGUUUUGUCUGUUACAAUUUUAAUGAAUAUUGUAUUUACUAGUGUAGCCCUUACGAGUAAUUUAUCUUUGCUAAAGAUGAAUAUUUUUGAGCAUGUUAAUAUUUAGCGGCAGUGUGCUACUGUUUUGUAUUGUUUUGGAACAUACGAUCGUAGACAAAGUGAAAGUAGACCCACACGUGUGAAAAAUACAUUGAAUGUCUCAAAUAUUUACGAUGUCUUUUAUUGGAAUACUUGCACAGAUAUUAUAAUGUAUGCUUAAUCUAUUCAGGGAUUUAAUCUCGUUACGUAUUCAUUGUUAUUUUACCUGUUUCUUGUAAACACAUGUUGUUAGGCUGCAGACAGUUUUCGUUCUAUUUUUAAUGUCGGCGCAUUGCAUUAUGGUCUAUUUCCGCUUUACUUCUUUGAUCCGCCAAGAGAUAAUCUUGCAUUCACGGAUAGAAAGAAUAAUGAGUUUUAAGGUAAUUAAUUUAUUUUACAGUUACGAAUGAAUUAAACUUGUAUUCUUUUAAUAUGUUUUAUGAAAGUAACGUAAUGUUUUCUUGUUAAUAGUUAUCAGAACUAUUUUCCGUUGAUUUUCAACGGUCCGUUUAUCCGUUGAUUUAGAACGGAUUCCGUUGUAUUGUAACGGACCGUUUAGUAACGGCCUAAACGGGACUAUAUAAGCUCGUCAGCAUCGGUUGACGGGGACUUGGACAUUUUUCAGAUUUUUGAUUAGACGUAGGUUUUAUCUCUGAUUCAUUUAUUAAUUAAUCGAUCUUAUUUUUGAAUUUCCCUUCUUCAAGAAUCUAUUUCUUUAACUUAUUUAUUUCUAGUAUAAUCUUAGGGGAUAUAUGCAGCAUUUUUCUAAGCUAUUAUAUACUUUUGGUGUUUUUCAUCUAAGAUAAUAUUUUUAAGAUUGUGAAAUUUUUCUCUUAUUGUAAAUAAUGGUAUUAAUUUAUCAAUACUCUGAAUAAACCAUCAUCUC
Ostrea edulis (European flat oyster) is the source of this 2724-nucleotide long non-coding RNA. RefSeq lists it as uncharacterized. The record is from RefSeq and is a predicted model, not a curated record. Lineage: Eukaryota; Metazoa; Mollusca; Bivalvia; Ostreida; Ostreidae. The transcript is spliced from 4 exons.